GACGAACGCUGGCGGCGUGGAUUAGGCAUGCAAGUCGAACGGUAUCAUCCUUUCGGGGGUGAGAGAGUGGCGAACUGGUGAGUAACACGUAGGUUAUCUACCCUCAAGACGGGGACAACCCAGGGAAACUUGGGCUAAUACCGGAUGUGAGCAACUUUUAGUUGUUUGAAAGGUGGCGUAAGCUGUCGCUUGGGGAUGAGCCUGCGUCCUAUUAGUCAGUUGGUGAGGUAACGGCUCACCUAGGCAAUGAUAGGUAGGCGGCCUUAACGGGUGGUCGCCCACACUGGGAUUGAGAUACGGCCCAGACUCCUACGGGAGGCAGCAGUCGAGAAUAGUCUACAAUGGUCGGAAGACUGAUAGUGCGACGCCGCGUGAACGAUGAAUCCCUUCGGGGUGUAAAGUUCUUUUAUAUGUGAGCAGUGCUUCUUAUAUUAACAGUAUGGGGAGAGAGAUAUUAGCAUAUGAAUAAGCAACGGCUAACUCCGUGCCAGCAGCCGCGGUAAAA
Molecule: ribosomal RNA, 505 nt
Filed under: uncultured bacterium
Lineage: Bacteria
Description: bacterial SSU rRNA
Rfam family: Bacterial small subunit ribosomal RNA
Source: RNAcentral